GUUACAUGCAGAAACAAUGGUUACGAAAUCUCUUCUGUUAACAAAAGGAAAACUGUUUUCCUUUCAGUUGCUGUGUGCAGCCUCUCAAAGACAGCUAUUGCUCAGUUUGAAAGGGACCCUUCAGAAGACUAAGCAUGGCCACUGCCCGCCACUGCAACCAAAGGACGUCAGGAAUUACAUAGGGAGUGAUUUCGUUGUUGUCGAUUCCUCUUUUAAUAUCUCAUUGUUACCAAUUUGUCUGGAAGAAAGGAGAAUAUGGAAGAAAGAGCAAGGGUUUUGGUUUGAACAUAUCCUUCUGAAGGUAGGAGUCAGCAAGCAAAAGGGUCUCAGGAAAUAUUGAUGCAACAGAAAAUGGAUGUAACCCUCAUCAUAAAUUGCGGGUGCCAAUUUGGAUGCAAACUCAGGCCAGGAAUUCAUGUGGUCCUUGAACUCCAAACCUAUGGCAGGUGUCUGUCCAUCAGUGCACUGAGGGACACCAAGAUGCCCACACUGUGGAACCAAAGCUGGGUUGGAAACCUAGGGUUCCUCUUUCCAGUGCUAACCCACAAAGGGUUUCGAAGAAGUCAGUAAGUAACCAGCCCAGCAGCACAGACAUUUACAAGCGUUUGAUCUCCAAUACCAUGCAAAGGAAAAGUACUGGGUUUGAACAUGCCUCCUGCUGUGAGAGUCACGGAUAUAUUUUGAACCUCAGCUGCAUGCACUGCAGCAGAUGAGGUGCAAUGAUGGUCCCUAUCAGUUUAGCUUGCCUGACUUACAGAGAAGCAAGGCAGGUCAGGAUCCAGCUCUGCCACAGAGCAAGGAUGCCACACUGGAGAAACAGCUGGUUCCUCUGCACUGCCAGCACCGCUCUGAGUCCAUGAGAAAGACACGGGAGAUGACUGUGCACCAAAGGAGGAAUGGAAAACCCUUGGGCAAAUGUACUGAUCUAACCCCAUUUCUACACUGAACGUGGAGAAGACAUGGACUACAACAUGCAGCUCCUCAGUGCCUCCUCCAACCAGCUCAGACUUAGCAAACCAACAGUAGGGGCUGUUGCCCAGCAGGCACACAUGAUUGUAAAAUGGCUAUGUGGCUAAACUGCAUGGUUUUCAGAAAAUCAGCAGGCUGCAGAUAGGUUUAAGCAGCUGACAUUCCCCAUACUAGACCAUUAACUUGCAAGAUUAUUCCAGUGCUUUGUGCCCUCCCUCUGUCUGGCAAAGAUGUAAUUUUUCAUGUUUUGAACUAAAAAUGUGCAGCAAUUUGUGAAAGAAAAUCACUCAAACAUCCAUGGGACAAAAAUGUAAGGAAAGCAAACAAGAUGGAGCACAGUGAAGGUCAAAACCCUCUGCAGCAGCAGUGUACAAAAUCCCCAGCAGCCAGACUGCAAGCAACCACAAGUUCUAGCUCUGGAUUAU
Molecule: long non-coding RNA, 1394 nt
Filed under: Anser brachyrhynchus (Pink-footed goose)
Lineage: Eukaryota; Metazoa; Chordata; Aves; Anseriformes; Anatidae
Description: lncRNA (ENSABRG00000022542.1)
Source: RNAcentral